This 253-nucleotide ribosomal RNA is filed under the name uncultured bacterium. RNAcentral describes it as "partial 16S ribosomal RNA". It matches the Rfam family "Bacterial small subunit ribosomal RNA", at positions 524 to 776 of the family's 1533-position model. The record is from RNAcentral.
UACGGGGGGGGCAAGCGUUGUUCGGAAUUACUGGGCGUAAAGGGCUCGUAGGUGGCCAACUAAGUCAGACGUGAAGUCCCUCGGCUUAACCGGGGAACUGCGUCUGAUACUGGAUGGCUUGAGUUUGGGAGAGGGAUGCGGAAUUCCAGGUGUAGCGGUGAAAUGCGUAGAUAUCUGGAGGAACACCGGUGGCGAAGGCGGCAUCCUGGACCAACACUGACACUGAGGAGCGAAAGCCAGGGGAGCAAACGGG